CCAAUGAGUUCCUCCAGCAAGUGAAACCAAUUAGAUUGGCCAGGCAGGAGCUCUUAGAGCCCUCUGUGACAAGCUGCUAGAUUGCAUCUAAGUACCCACAUUGCAUGAUGGAAAAAACAAAAGUUUCAACCAAAAAGAAGAUCCACAGAUUUAAAGCUGAUGGCAGAAUGUUCCUCUUAGCUCACUCACCUGAGACCUCACCCAAGUUCACUGUGAGUUAGGCUCCUGCUCAGGAAUCCAGCCUGGAAUCAGAUGGGCCUCUGCAGACCUCUACUAUGGAUUUGCUGCAAUUGUGGACAAGACAAAGAUCUACCCACAGGGAUCUGGGAUCAGGAUCAUACAGUGAGGCUGCCUCGACUCAGAACAGGCACUGUGCUCAUCACUGGCAUAUACUGAAUUAAAUACACUGCCUGUGCUUACAAAGUAAUAAUUGCUAAUGAGCUACUCUGCUGUCACCACCUAUAAAUGCUGUUAUGCCUAUUCAAAGCCAAGCAGAUAAAAUGCUUCUAUAUUUUCAGAAUUACUUUCAGACUGUUACAAGAUAUAGGACAGAAAAUAGUACAGGAAGUGUAAAGCAAUCUGAGAUUCCUUUCUCUGGUGUAAGCAACACUGUCUCUAACCCCAGUGGCACAACCCAGCAUUUCUAGCAGAAAUAAUUCCACAUGAUAAUAGGGAAUUAAAUGUAGUGAAUAACAGUAA
Long non-coding RNA from Pogoniulus pusillus (Red-fronted tinkerbird), 699 nucleotides. RefSeq lists it as uncharacterized. The record is from RefSeq and is a predicted model, not a curated record. Lineage: Eukaryota; Metazoa; Chordata; Aves; Piciformes; Lybiidae. The transcript has 2 exons.